RNAcentral lists this ribosomal RNA (1343 nucleotides) under uncultured bacterium. RNAcentral describes it as "16S ribosomal RNA". It matches the Rfam family "Bacterial small subunit ribosomal RNA", at positions 28 to 1378 of the family's 1533-position model. The record is from RNAcentral.
GACGAACGCUGGCGGCGUGCUUAACACAUGCAAGUCGAACGGAAAGGCCCUGCUUUUGUGGGGUGCUCGAGUGGCGAACGGGUGAGUAACACGUGAGUAACCUGCCCUUGACUUUGGGAUAACUUCAGGAAACUGGGGCUAAUACCGGAUAGGAGCUCCUGCUGCAUGGUGGGGGUUGGAAAGUUUCGGCGGUUGGGGAUGGACUCGCGGCUUAUCAGCUUGUUGGUGGGGUAGUGGCUUACCAAGGCUUUGACGGGUAGCCGGCCUGAGAGGGUGACCGGCCACAUUGGGACUGAGAUACGGCCCAGACUCCUACGGGAGGCAGCAGUGGGGAAUAUUGCACAAUGGGCGGAAGCCUGAUGCAGCAACGCCGCGUGCGGGAUGACGGCCUUCGGGUUGUAAACCGCUUUCGCCUGUGACGAAGCGUGAGUGACGGUAAUGGGUAAAGAAGCACCGGCUAACUACGUGCCAGCAGCCGCGGUGAUACGUAGGGUGCGAGCGUUGUCCGGAUUUAUUGGGCGUAAAGGGCUCGUAGGUGGUUGAUCGCGUCGGAAGUGUAAUCUUGGGGCUUAACCCUGAGCGUGCUUUCGAUACGGGUUGACUUGAGGAAGGUAGGGGAGAAUGGAAUUCCUGGUGGAGCGGUGGAAUGCGCAGAUAUCAGGAGGAACACCAGUGGCGAAGGCGGUUCUCUGGGCCUUUCCUGACGCUGAGGAGCGAAAGCGUGGGGAGCGAACAGGCUUAGAUACCCUGGUAGUCCAUGCUGUAAACGGUGGGUACUAGGUGUGGGGUCCAUUCCACGGGUUCCGUGCCGUAGCUAACGCUUUAAGUACCCCGCCUGGGGAGUACGGCCGCAAGGCUAAAACUCAAAGGAAUUGACGGGGCCCCGCACAAGCGGCGGAGCAUGCGGAUUAAUUCGAUGCAACGCGUAGAACCUUACCUGGGUUUGACAUGGAUCGGGAGUGCUCAGAGAUGGGUGUGCCUCUUUUGGGGUCGGUUCACAGGUGGUGCAUGGCUGUCGUCAGCUCGUGUCGUGAGAUGUUGGGUUAAGUCCCGCAACGAGCGCAACCCUUGUUCACUGUUGCCAGCACGUUAUGGUGGGGACUCAGUGGAGACCGCCGGGGUCAACUCGGAGGAAGGUGGGGAUGACGUCAAGUCAUCAUGCCCCUUAUGUCCAGGGCUUCACGCAUGCUACAAUGGCUGGUACAGAGAGUGGCGAGCCUGUGAGGGUGAGCGAAUCUCGGAAAGCCGGUCUCAGUUCGGAUUGGGGUCUGCAACUCGACCUCAUGAAGUCGGAGUCGCUAGUAAUCGCAGAUCAGCAACGCUGCGGUGAACACGUUCCCGGG